GGAGAGAUGCCGGAGUGGUCGAACGGGAUGGUUUCGAAAACCAUUGAUCGCUUUUUGCGGUCCGGGGGUUCGAAUCCCCCUUUCUCCG
Molecule: non-coding RNA, 88 nt
Organism: Bdellovibrionales bacterium
Lineage: Bacteria; Pseudomonadati; Bdellovibrionota; Bdellovibrionia; Bdellovibrionales
Source: Rfam